Molecule: ribosomal RNA, 253 nt
Filed under: uncultured bacterium
Lineage: Bacteria
Description: partial 16S ribosomal RNA
Rfam family: Bacterial small subunit ribosomal RNA
Source: RNAcentral
UACGGAGGGAGCUAGCGUUGUUCGGAUAUACUGGGCGUAAAGCGCACGUAGGCGGCGCAGCAAGUCAGGGGUGAAAUCCCGGAGCUCAACUCCGGAACUGCCUUUGAAACUGCAGUGCUAGAAUCCUGGAGAGGCGAGUGGAAUUCCGAGUGUAGAGGUGAAAUUCGUAGACAUUCGGAAGAACACCAGUGGCGAAGGCGACUCGCUGGACAGGUAUUGACGCUGAGGUGCGAAAGCGUGGGGAGCAAACAGG